GAGUGAACGCUGGCGGUAGGCCUAACACAUGCAAGUCGAACGGCAGCACAGUAAGAGCUUGCUCUUACGGGUGGCGAGUGGCGGACGGGUGAGGAAUACAUCGGAAUCUACUUUUUCGUGGGGGAUAACGUAGGGAAACUUACGCUAAUACCGCAUACGACCUACGGGUGAAAGCAGGGGAUCUUCGGACCUUGCGCGAUUGAAUGAGCCGAUGUCGGAUUAGCUAGUUGGCGGGGUAAAGGCCCACCAAGGCGACGAUCCGUAGCUGGUCUGAGAGGAUGAUCAGCCACACUGGAACUGAGACACGGUCCAGACUCCUACGGGAGGCAGCAGUGGGGAAUAUUGGACAAAGGGCGCAAGCCUGAUCCAGCCAUACCGCGUGGGUGAAGAAGGCCUUCGGGUUGUAAAGCCCUUUUGUUGGGAAAGAAAAGCAGCAGGUUAAUACCCCGCUGUUCUGACGGUACCCAAAGAAUAAGCACCGGCUAACUUCGUG
This 493-nucleotide ribosomal RNA is filed under the name uncultured bacterium. RNAcentral's name for it is "partial 16S ribosomal RNA". It matches the Rfam family "Bacterial small subunit ribosomal RNA", at positions 27 to 507 of the family's 1533-position model. The record is from RNAcentral.